RNAcentral lists this ribosomal RNA (403 nucleotides) under uncultured bacterium. RNAcentral describes it as "bacterial SSU rRNA". It matches the Rfam family "Bacterial small subunit ribosomal RNA", at positions 509 to 916 of the family's 1533-position model. The record is from RNAcentral.
CAGCAGCCGCGGUAAUACGGAGGAUCCAAGCGUUAUCCGGAAUCAUUGGGUUUAAAGGGUCCGUAGGCGGUUUAGUAAGUCAGUGGUGAAAGCCCAUCGCUCAACGGUGGAACGGCCAUUGAUACUGCUAAACUUGAAUUAUUAGGAAGUAACUAGAAUAUGUAGUGUAGCGGUGAAAUGCUUAGAGAUUACAUGGAAUACCAAUUGCGAAGGCAGGUUACUACUAAUGGAUUGACGCUGAUGGACGAAAGCGUGGGUAGCGAACAGGAUUAGAUACCCUGGUAGUCCACGCCGUAGACGAUGGAUACUAGCUGUUGGGAGCAAUUUCAGUGGCUAAGUGAAAGUGAUAAGUAUCCCGCCUGGGGAGUACGGCCGCAAGGUUGAAACUCAAAGGAAUUGACGG